UUCAAAUAAUAAUAAUAAUAAUAAUAAUAAUAAUAAUAAUAAAGCAUAGAAUAAGAAUGAAUUGAGCAAUGACACGUGGCUCACAAUAAGAGACUAAGUGACUAAAGAUAGCUAUACAAGUCAAAAAAAUUCAAAGUCAUCAGCCAAGUAAGUGGAACUCAAGAGUAUAUACAGGCCCGGCCCAAGUAAGGGACUAAACUUUCAUAAAAGAAAGAGUAAGGGACUAAACUUUCGGCAAAAAAUGAGUAAGGGACUAAACAGUAUUUUAGAUAUGAGAAAUUAGAAUUCAAUUAGCAGAGGGCUCUAACACAAGUUUGAUCACAUCCCAUUUGAUCACAUCCCACAAGUGUACCUGAAAAGAUAGUAAAUGCAUGUUUACUAGACGAAAAUUACUCAAAAAUAAAUAUGAAAAAGUAAAACAUAAUAAACACGCAUUGCAUGUAUAUUCAUUCACGAGGAAGAGUAUCAUAAUUUAAUUAAGCUAACUUCACGAAUCUAAUAGUAGAGGACGAAUAUAACUGCAAAUUAUAUCAUGUAAAUCAUGUCGGUAUACCUAACAAACAUUCUUGACAAAACAUGUUUGAAAUUUUCAAGAGGGUCAUAUUUUUAGCACAGCCAAUGAGAAUACCUAAAUUUAAGCAAGGCAAAUUCAAGUAUCCAAAUGCCAUAUGGCCAAAUAAACGAGUGUCUCACUUUGGGUAACAAAAACGACAUCUGAUUUCGGGAUUUCUGACAUUAGCAAAAACAAGUUUACUAUUAUUCUAUCAGCAAACUUUUAAUUUCUAAAUAUACAUAAUCAGCUUUCUUCGACCAAAUUUUUAUUUCCUGAUCAGCAAUAAAAGUUGACAACAAUCCCUAAAAGGGCAAACAAAACAAGUUCUUCCCAAUAUAAACUCAAUUAUAAUACUAGGAACAGCAGUACUUAAAAUCCUACUGAAAUUCUAAUAAAUAAACAAUAAAAACCUACUGAAUUUAAACUUUUAAUUCAAUAAUUUAAACUUCUACAGACCAGGCCUUGGGUAAUUCGAUGAUCCUUACUUAGCCACACGUGGUAGUAGAAUUUUUUAAACAAUUGUAAAUAAUGUGAAGUAAUAAUGAUUUGGGCUGCAUGUAAUCUAGAGGGAUGCUUUUACAUGUUUGACAAACACUAUUUUCAAGAAUAUGGAAACUGGAGAUAUUGUGGACAAGUUUACAAGUGUAUUGAUUACGGUAAUCUUAUACUUAAUCUAAAUUUUUGAUAGUCUAUGAGUGUCGAUUAAGUUCAGCAUU
Molecule: long non-coding RNA, 1269 nt
Filed under: Erythranthe guttata (spotted monkey flower)
Lineage: Eukaryota; Viridiplantae; Streptophyta; Magnoliopsida; Lamiales; Phrymaceae
Description: long non-coding RNA (EGUT_LNC001331)
Source: RNAcentral